GUUGCUGUGAUGAGCCAUAACAAGUAAGAAGGCCAACUGAUCAACUGGUUCUUCGAUGAAAUAUAGCUGAUACGCUUGGCUUCUGAGCUAA
Setaria italica (foxtail millet) is the source of this 91-nucleotide small nucleolar RNA. It matches the Rfam family "Small nucleolar RNA R24". Rfam says of the family: snoR24 is a C/D box small nucleolar RNA which acts as a methylation guide for 18S ribosomal RNA in plants. The record is from Rfam. Lineage: Eukaryota; Viridiplantae; Streptophyta; Magnoliopsida; Poales; Poaceae.